RNAcentral lists this ribosomal RNA (490 nucleotides) under uncultured bacterium. RNAcentral's name for it is "partial 16S ribosomal RNA". It matches the Rfam family "Bacterial small subunit ribosomal RNA", at positions 30 to 507 of the family's 1533-position model. The record is from RNAcentral.
AUUGAACGCUGGCGGCAGGCCUAACACAUGCAAGUCGAACGGUAACAGGAAGCAGCUUGCUGCUUCGCUGACGAGUGGCGGACGGGUGAGUAAUGUCUGGGAAACUGCCUGAUGGAGGGGGAUAACUACUGGAAACGGUAGCUAAUACCGCAUAACGUCGCAAGACCAAAGAGGGGGACCUUAGGGCCUCUUGCCAUCGGAUGUGCCCAGAUGGGAUUAGCUAGUAGGUGGGGUAACGGCUCACCUAGGCGACGAUCCCUAGCUGGUCUGAGAGGAUGACCAGCCACACUGGAAAUGAGACACGGUCCAGACUCCUACGGGAGGCAGCAGUGGGGAAUAUUGCACAAUGGGCGCAAGCCUGAUGCAGCCAUGCCGCGUGUAUGAAGAAGGCCCUCGGGUUGUAAAGUACUUUCAGCGGGGAGGAAGGGAGUAAAGUUAAUACCUGUGCUCAUUGACGUUACCCGCAGAAGAAGCACCGGCUAACUCCGUG